ACGGGAGGCAGCAGUCGGGAAUCUUGCGCAAUGGGCGAAAGCCUGACGCAGCAACACCGUGUGGGCGACGAAGGCCUUCGGGUCGUAAAGCCCUGUUGUUGGGGACGAAGGACGAAGGGUUAAUAGCCCCUAGUCUGACGGUACCCUUCGAGGAAGCCCCGGCUAACUACGUGCCAGCAGCCGCGGUAAUACGUAGGGGGCGAGCGUUGUCCGGAAUUAUUGGGCGUAAAGAGCGUGUAGGCGGUUCGGUAAGUCUGCCGUGAAAACCUGGGGCUCAACCCCGGGCGUGCGGUGGAUACUGCCGGGCUAGAGGGUGGUAGAGGCGAGUGGAAUUCCCGGUGUAGCGGUGAAAUGCGCAGAUAUCGGGAGGAACACCAGUAGCGAAGGCGGCUCGCUGGGCCAUUCCUGACGCUGAGACGCGAAAGCUAGGGGAGCGAACAGGAUUAGAUACCCUGGUA
This 458-nucleotide ribosomal RNA is filed under the name uncultured Rubrobacter sp. Its description in RNAcentral is "bacterial SSU rRNA". It matches the Rfam family "Bacterial small subunit ribosomal RNA", at positions 341 to 792 of the family's 1533-position model. The record is from RNAcentral. Lineage: Bacteria; Bacillati; Actinomycetota; Rubrobacteria; Rubrobacterales; Rubrobacteraceae.